RNAcentral lists this ribosomal RNA (253 nucleotides) under uncultured bacterium. RNAcentral describes it as "partial 16S ribosomal RNA". It matches the Rfam family "Bacterial small subunit ribosomal RNA", at positions 524 to 776 of the family's 1533-position model. The record is from RNAcentral.
UACGUAGGGUGCAAGCGUUAAUCGGAAUUACUGGGCGUAAAGCGUGCGCAGGCGGUGAUGUAAGACAGGUGUGAAAUCCCCGGGCUUAACCUGGGAACUGCAUUUGUGACUGCAUCGCUGGAGUGCGGCAGAGGGGGAUGGAAUUCCGCGUGUAGCAGUGAAAUGCGUAGAUAUGCGGAGGAACACCGAUGGCGAAGGCAAUCCCCUGGGCCAACACUGACGCUCAUGCACGAAAGCGUGGGGAGCAAACAGG